GAAGAGCUGGCGGCGUGUGGGGCGCACGAGGCCCUGCUGGGUGUUCCGGGGGCGCCGCCCGGGACCCCGAGGGCGGGAGGGUGUGUGGUCGGCGGGCGUGGGGGCUGCGGGAGCUGUCGGCCCUUGCCCAGGGACCCCGCCCGUGUCCCGCCCGGGUAGCGUUUUGGCUGCCGUACACUUGCUCUAGGAAUUAUUGAACGGAAACAAUUUCAUUUGUUUUGGAAAGACUUUUUGGAGCGGAGUCAGGAUGAAUUAUGUG
Molecule: long non-coding RNA, 259 nt
Filed under: Dasypus novemcinctus (nine-banded armadillo)
Lineage: Eukaryota; Metazoa; Chordata; Mammalia; Cingulata; Dasypodidae
Description: lncRNA (ENSDNOG00000050335.1)
Source: RNAcentral